Molecule: ribosomal RNA, 484 nt
Filed under: uncultured bacterium
Lineage: Bacteria
Description: partial 16S ribosomal RNA
Rfam family: Bacterial small subunit ribosomal RNA
Source: RNAcentral
GACGAACGCUGGUGGCGCGCCUAACACAUGCAAGUCGAACGGAGCUGAGAGGAGCUUGCUUUUCUUAGCUUAGUGGCGAACGGGUGAGUAACGCGUGAGUAACCUGCCCUGGAGUGGGGGACAACAGUUGGAAACGACUGCUAAUAGCGCAUAAGCCCACGGCCCGGCAUCGGGCUGAGGGAAAAGGAUUUAUUCGCUUCAGGAUGGACUCGCGUCCAAUUAGCUAGUUGGUGAGGUAACGGCCCACCAAGGCGACGAUUGGUAGCCGGACUGAGAGGUUGAACGGCCACAUUGGGACUGAGACACGGCCCAGACUCCUACGGGAGGCAGCAGUGGGGGAUAUUGCACAAUGGGGGAAACCCUGAUGCAGCGACGCCGCGUGGAGGAAGAAGGUUUUCGGAUUGUAAACUCCUGUCGUUAGGGACGAUAAUGACGGUACCUAACAAGAAAGCACCGGCUAACUACGUGCCAGCCGCCGCGGUAA